RNAcentral lists this ribosomal RNA (425 nucleotides) under uncultured bacterium. Its description in RNAcentral is "partial 16S ribosomal RNA". It matches the Rfam family "Bacterial small subunit ribosomal RNA", at positions 354 to 796 of the family's 1533-position model. The record is from RNAcentral.
GUUAGGAAUAUUGGACAAUGGGCGAAAGCCUGAUCCAGCCAUGCCGCGUGAACGAUGAAGGCCUUCGGGUUGUAAAGUUCUUUAGCCGAUGAUUAUAAUGACUGUAGUCGGAAAAUAAGCCCCGGCUAACUUCGUGCCAGCAGCCGCGGUAAUACGAAGGGGGCGAGCGUUAUUCGGAAUCACUGUGCGUAAAGCGUGCGUAGGCGGUUUUGUAAGUUAGGAGUGAAAGCCCAGGGCUCAACCGUGGAAUUGCUCUUAAAACUGCAAGGCUCGAAUCUCGGAGAGGAGAGCGGAAUUUCCAGUGUAGCAGUGAAAUGCGUAGAUAUUGGAAGGAACACCAGUGGCGUAAGCGGCUAUCUGGACGAGUAUUGACGCUGAGGCACGAAAGCGUGGGGAUCAAACAGGAUUAGAAACCCGUGUAGUCC